AGUGAACGCUGGCGGUAGGCCUAACACAUGCAAGUCGAACGGCAGCACAGUAAGAGCUUGCUCUUACGGGUGGCGAGUGGCGGACGGGUGAGGAAUACAUCGGAAUCUACUUUUUCGUGGGAGAUAACGUAGGGAAACUUACGCUAAUACCGCAUACGACCUACGGGUGAAAGCAGGGGAUCUUCGGACCUUGCGCGAUUGAAUGAGCCGAUGUCGGAUUAGCUAGUUGGCGGGGUGAAGGCCCACCAAGGCGACGAUCCGUAGCUGGUCUGAGAGGAUGAUCAGCCACACUGGAACUGAGACACGGUCCAGACUCCUACGGGAGGCAGCAGCGGGGAAUAUUGGACAAUGGGCGCAAGCCUGAUCCAGCCAUACCGCGUGGGUGAAGAAGGCCUUCGGGUUGUAAAGCCCUUUUGUUGGGAAAGAAAAGCAGCAGGUUAAUACCCCGCUGUUCUGACGGUACCCAAAGAAUAAGCACCGGCUAACUUCGUG
This 492-nucleotide ribosomal RNA is filed under the name uncultured bacterium. RNAcentral's name for it is "partial 16S ribosomal RNA". It matches the Rfam family "Bacterial small subunit ribosomal RNA", at positions 29 to 507 of the family's 1533-position model. The record is from RNAcentral.